CGGUAAGACCCCUGGAAGACUACCAGGUAGAUAGGCCAGAGGUGUAAGCGUCGUAAGGCGUUUAGCUGACUGGUACUAAUAGGUCGAGGGCUUGAUCUU
Molecule: ribosomal RNA, 99 nt
Filed under: Caloramator sp. CAR-1
Lineage: Bacteria; Bacillati; Bacillota; Clostridia; Eubacteriales; Clostridiaceae
Description: partial 23S ribosomal RNA
Rfam family: Bacterial large subunit ribosomal RNA
Source: RNAcentral